Chlorocebus sabaeus (green monkey) is the source of this 113-nucleotide microRNA precursor. NCBI's taxonomy places the organism in Eukaryota, Metazoa, Chordata, Mammalia, Primates, Cercopithecidae. The record is from Ensembl.
GACCACGCCAAGCAGCUUAUCGAGGAGAAGAUCGAGGUGGGUUGGGGCGGGCUCUGGGGGUUUGGGCUCGCAGCCCGGAUCCCAGCCCACUCACCUCGGCUGCUCUCCUUCCU